GCCUACGGGAGGCAGCAGUGGGGAAUAUUGCACAAUGGGGGAAACCCUGAUGCAGCGACGCCGCGUGAGUGAAGAAGUAUCUCGGUACGUAAAGCUCUAUCAGCAGGGAAGAAAAAAAGUCUUUGGCUUUGGACGGUACCUGACUAAGAAGCCCCGGCUAACUACGUGCCAGCAGCCGCGGUAAUACGUAGGGGGCAAGCGUUAUCCGGAUUUACUGGGUGUAAAGGGAGCGUAGACGGCAUAGCAAGUCUGAUGUGAAAGAUCGGGGCUCAACCCCGGGCCUGCAUUGGAAACUGUUAAGCUGG
This 305-nucleotide ribosomal RNA is filed under the name uncultured bacterium. Its description in RNAcentral is "bacterial SSU rRNA". It matches the Rfam family "Bacterial small subunit ribosomal RNA", at positions 337 to 644 of the family's 1533-position model. The record is from RNAcentral.